ACCUUCUCAUGCUCAUCUACAACUAAAAAAAAAGCAUAACUGGCAAAGUCAGUGAACUUAGCCUCAUACUUUGUUAUCGUCAUACUGCCCUGUCGUAGUUGCUCGAACUGAUAUCUCAUGUCGUCUCGCUUGCUCAGUGGAAUGAACAUAUUCAUAAAAAUAGCUGAAAACUCUGACCAAGUAAUAGAUGGAAACCCUGCACGUCUACCCCUCUGAACUGAAUUCCACCAUGACUCUGCAGAUCCUAAAAAUAGAAAAGUAGCAAAUUCCACCCUUCGAGUUUCCUUCAGCCCCAAAGUAGAUAUCAUAUUUUCACAUUGCUGUAUGAACUUCUCGGCUCAAUAGAAGCUUGUGUAGCAUCAAACUAUAUUGGCUUAAGAUCCAUGAAAUUCAUAUGAUUCGUAGACUGCCGUGUCUUUGCAACCGGCUGAACUACCUGCUGAGGGGCCAUAUGAGAAGCUAUAACAUUCAGUUCAACAUAUUCUUGCGUCUGCACAGUAGUCUAUGGAGUUCGAAGUCCACCCUGGGUAGGCACUAAUGCCUCUAACACAUUUAACAACCUUGCCAAUGAGUCUGUAGGUAGGGCAAUAGUAGGCACAACAGCUGGCCUUGGUGGUUGAGCAUCAUAAACCAUAUGUUCUUGCACUUGAGCUGGCGUAGCAGCUUAGGGUUGACCUAUGUUUUCAACUUCUGGCUGAGGGCUAUCUUGCCUCCUACUCUGAGCUCUAGUUUGAUGAACCUCAGUUCGACCCCCAACUCCGGUAGCACCACGUCCACACCACGUCUAGCAGAUGAGGUGUGCGUGUCCUAGCCAUGUGCGAAAGAAAUAUCCCAAAGUAAAACUCAAAUAGUAUCAACGCACGAUAGCCCCAAGAUCAUAAGAAUGUGUGCCAACAUACCCUUGAAUAAGACUCUACUAAACACUGCUGCAUGACCAGGGACUUAACGCCUAAGCUCUGAUGCUAACUUUAUCACGUCCCAAACUACCUCCUAGACGUGACUGGAACCCAGCCAACACCCCCCGCCGGACGAACCAUACUUUCUUACCUUAGCCAUUAAUUUACACCAUUUGGUUAAUUAAAUGAAUAACAAAAUAAUAUGAUAACUAAUACGACUAAUUAAUAUCUAAAAAUAUUAGAUUGAAACUCUAUCCUAAAUCCCACAGUAGACCAUGGAGCUUCUAAGAAAAUUACAAAAGACCUAAUAUAAAUAAAUGAUAAAGACUCUUUGGGUAGAUCCACGAACAAUGCAGUGGCUCACCUCAAUAACUGAAUCAACUCUAGAGAACGUGUCGGCUACAAUAUCUAUCUUUACCAAUAGUAUCUGGGUAGACAUGUAAGUAAGGAGUGAGUUAAUGUAAAUAUAACCCAGUAAAAUCAUCAACCCGCCACUCUGAAUACCUCUGAAACAAAUGGUAGAAAAAACAAACACACAACGAGCAAACAAACAAUAUGCACAUAAAUGCUUUUAUCAUAUAAUUACUCUAUAUGGUCAAAGCAAUUAUUUAACAACAACUUUAUGUAUAUCUCAACACAAUCUAUACUAAAGACUUGGAGCAGUGUAGCAACUUAACCAAACACCCCAAUGAAUCUAUGGAAGCAUACACAAUGCCCCAAAUUUAUCACAAUGGCAUACACAAUGCCCCAAAUAUAUCGAUGGCAUACACAAUGCCCUAAAUCUUUAACGGUGGCAUACACGAUAGCCCAAAUAUAUAGCGGCGGCAUACACAAUGUCCUAAAUCCUUCACGGUAGCAUACACAAUGCCUCGAAUAUAUUACGGCACUGAAAAAAAUAAUUUAUAAUCCUCCAAUAUCAUUGCACAAGGCUACGCCACAUCACCUACACUACAAAUCACUUAUUAAAUAAUGUUAGCUUUUACAGAAUAAUAUAUAUUUGUGGCUAGUCAAAGAUCACCAAUUCUGUCAAGCACACGCUCGUUCCAACAUAUGGACCAGGCAGGAAAAAAAAUAUACUUCCAAAAUAAAUUUUAGAAAAGUAAGCAUCGAAAGCUUAAAGUCUCACUUACCGUAGUAAUGGAAAAAUUUCCAACCUUGCAAGACUCCUUAUAUACAAAUU
Molecule: long non-coding RNA, 2076 nt
Filed under: Nicotiana benthamiana
Lineage: Eukaryota; Viridiplantae; Streptophyta; Magnoliopsida; Solanales; Solanaceae
Description: long non-coding RNA (NBEN_LNC002856)
Source: RNAcentral